RNAcentral lists this ribosomal RNA (254 nucleotides) under uncultured bacterium. RNAcentral's name for it is "partial 16S ribosomal RNA". It matches the Rfam family "Bacterial small subunit ribosomal RNA", at positions 524 to 776 of the family's 1533-position model. The record is from RNAcentral.
UACGAAGGGGGCUAGCGUUGCUCGGAAUCACUGGGCGUAAAGCGCACGUAGGCGGAUUGCUAAGUCAGGGGUGAAAUCCUGGAGCUCAACUCCAGAACUGCCCUUGAUACUGGCGGUCUCGAGUCCGGGAGAGGUGAGUGGAAUUCCCAGUGUAGAGGUGAAAUUCGUAGAUAUUGGGAAGAACACCGGUGGCGAAGGCGGCUCACUGGCUCAGUUUCUGACGCUCAGGCGCGACAGCGUGGGGAUCAAACAGG